Nerophis ophidion (straightnose pipefish) is the source of this 1286-nucleotide long non-coding RNA. RefSeq lists it as uncharacterized. The transcript is spliced from 4 exons. Lineage: Eukaryota; Metazoa; Chordata; Actinopteri; Syngnathiformes; Syngnathidae. The record is from RefSeq and is a predicted model, not a curated record.
UUUUGGUCCAAAAUGGCUCUUUCAACAUUUUGGGUUGCCGACCCCUGACUUAGGGCAUUCAAUUAAUCACACAAAAUAAAAACGUUAAUUUUCGGUUUGCUCUAAAAGACAAUUUGCCUCUCAGCCACGCAGGCUUCAUCAGUUCAUUCUCAUAGCCUUACUGUACAUUGGUCAGAUGUGACUACAUUCCAGGUUUUAUCAAAUAUUUUUACAAAAAUAAUUCCAAUACAACGCACACCUGUCGUUCAUAUCUUUUUUAGCUCAUAUUCCACCCUGAAAGUGUAACCAGCCAAGAGGAAUGAGUCAAUGCAUCGUACAGAGCAAUUGAGGAGCAUGUCUUGUCAAUGCAAUGCAUGCCACACAAUGUGCUGAGAGAGAUUGAUGUUAUUGUCAUCCACCUGCUUCAAAGCUGUAAAAAAAAAAAAAAACAGGCAGAUGCUGAUGCAAACAGAGGAACCUAGCUAGUCAAGCUCACAAACAAAAGAGUGAGAACCUCAUAGCUCCUCCUUGCACAUCUGUUUUGGAGGAAUAUCUCAGCAUUCUGUUGUGAUGCACACUGGGCUUAAAUGAAUCUGAAUCUUGUGUCGGGGAAGGGGAAAGAAGCUGGCGGAUCCUCAUGCAGAGAACCCACAGGAGUUCCGAGAGAACCCACAGGAGUUCCGAGAGAACCAUCACGCCCUUCUUGAUAAGAGCUCUCUCCGGCAGGCUCUCUCUCGUUCUCCAGCCAGCUCCCUCUCAUGGUCUCCGACGCUGCUGAUAAAGGGAACAGGUGAUUAGAUAACUUGUUCCAGCUGAGAUAUCUACCCACCUGUCUGCUGCUUCAUGGCCGGCCACUGCACACACCCCGCCCGCAGGGAACGCAUGGACCACGCCCCUCUCCACAAAUAAUUUUUAAAUGUGGAGAGGCGGAACAGGGCAGUCUGACAGAGAGGCCCAAGAUGGCGGCGAGGAGGCGGGGACGGCGAGCAAGCGGCGAGGCGGGGCCACAAUCAAGAUCAGGUGUAUAGAUCGCGCAACCGGGGCCAAUCAUGCAAUCCUCUUGCACUGUUUAAAAGGGCGACAACCGUGAACGUCGGGGAGAGAGGCGUAGAGACUGGAAGGACCCAAAGUGAAGCUGACGCGGAGCGAGAGAGGAAGAGAGCUCGAGGCAGACGAGUGAGCAGAGAAAAGGUGCUGAAAAGCGACCUGGACUGAGGUUUUAUUUUUUUUAAAAUAAACAAAGUCAACCCUGCUCAAAGAUGUGCCUAUUUGGUGGUCCAUGGAACCCGCAAGACGGCACAAGUCGU